RNAcentral lists this ribosomal RNA (253 nucleotides) under uncultured bacterium. RNAcentral describes it as "partial 16S ribosomal RNA". It matches the Rfam family "Bacterial small subunit ribosomal RNA", at positions 524 to 776 of the family's 1533-position model. The record is from RNAcentral.
UACGUAGGGCGCGAGCGUUGUCCGGAAUUAUUGGGCGUAAAGAGCUCGUAGGCGGCCUGUUGCGUCUGCUGUGAAAUCCCGGGGCUGAACCCCGGGCGUGCAGUGGAUACGGGCAGGCUGGAGGCAGGCAGGGGAGAAUGGAAUUCCCGGUGUAGCGGUGAAAUGCGCAGAUAUCGGGAGGAACACCGGUGGCGAAGGCGGUUCUCUGGGCCUGGUCUGACGCUGAGGAGCGAAAGCGUGGGGAGCGAACAGG